UAUUAUCAACCCCACCAGCUUUUGUAGUUGGGUUUUUGGUGGUUUGGAUAUGGAGGUUUGCAGGCACUUUUGAAGUGUCAGCUCCUCUGAAAUGCAUUAGCAGAACCGAUUGCAAUCUGUUAAACUGGUGUGAUAAUUGUCUACGCUAGUAGGAUUGCUCUCUGUAUGUUCAGCUUCUAAUAGUUUCCCACUGAGUGGAUAGCAUAUGAAC
Molecule: unclassified non-coding RNA, 211 nt
Filed under: uncultured Leucoagaricus
Lineage: Eukaryota; Fungi; Basidiomycota; Agaricomycetes; Agaricales; Agaricaceae
Description: sequence contains ITS2
Source: RNAcentral